RNAcentral lists this ribosomal RNA (500 nucleotides) under uncultured bacterium. RNAcentral's name for it is "partial 16S ribosomal RNA". It matches the Rfam family "Bacterial small subunit ribosomal RNA", at positions 30 to 523 of the family's 1533-position model. The record is from RNAcentral.
AUUGAACGCUGGCGGAAUGCUUUACACAUGCAAGUCGAACGGCAGCACGGACUUCGGUCUGGUGGCGAGUGGCGAACGGGUGAGUAAUGUAUCGGAACGUGCCCAGUCGUGGGGGAUAACGUAGUGAAAAUUACGCUAAUACCGCAUACGAUCUAUGGAUGAAAGCGGGGGAUCGCAAGACCUCGCGCGAAUGGAGCGGCCGAUGUCAGAUUAGGUAGUUGGUGGGGUAAAGGCUCACCAAGCCAACGAUCUGUAGCUGGUCUGAGAGGACGACCAGCCACACUGGGACUGAGACACGGCCCAGACUCCUACGGGAGGCAGCAGUGGGGAAUUUUGGAUAAUGGGCGCAAGCCUGAUCCAGCCAUUCCGCGUGCAGGAUGAAGGCCUUCAGGUUGUAAACUGCUUUUGUACGGAACGAAACGGUUCUCUCUAAUACAGGGGGCUAAUGACGGUACCGUAAGAAUAAGCACCGGCUAACUACGUGCCAGCCGCCGCCGUAA